Molecule: non-coding RNA, 65 nt
Filed under: Pan paniscus (pygmy chimpanzee)
Lineage: Eukaryota; Metazoa; Chordata; Mammalia; Primates; Hominidae
Source: RNAcentral
CCCUCUGGUUGAUACCCACUCAAAAAGGACACUUCUGAUUAAGACGGUUGAAACUAGAGAUGGAC